Molecule: long non-coding RNA, 1383 nt
Filed under: Citrus x clementina
Lineage: Eukaryota; Viridiplantae; Streptophyta; Magnoliopsida; Sapindales; Rutaceae
Description: Citrus clementina (C. clementina) long non-coding RNA (CCLE_LNC001809)
Source: RNAcentral
GUCACAAUAAAUUCUUAAUAUCUUAAUAUAAGGUAUGGUAAAAUGGUAUUUUGACUUAUUGUAGACAAAUUAAAUUUUGGCACCAUAAAUACUUAAUCCAUCAUAAAAUUAAAGGGGAAAUAAUAAUAAUUUAUAUAAUUAAUCUUUUGGACAAUAAAUCUAAAAAAAAUGGCAAAAAGCUACUAAGAGUGGAUCCACAACCCUAACUAAUUCAAUUUCAUAGUUUUAUUUAAAUUAAGUUGUUUAUAUUUGAGUUUUAUUUUCAAUUUUUAGAUACAAUAAAUUAAAUCUUUUCUCUGUGGAUUGACUUCGAACUCACCAAACUAUAAUACAAUAAGACACUCUUAUACUUGAGAGUUAAAAAUUACUUUUAAAUUGCGUCACUAAAUAGCAAGUUGAAGCCCUCGCAAAUAGCUAUCGGCUCAGCAAAAAGCAUCAACUGGUACCGAAGAAAAUAGCCAAUAGCAGGUAGAACCACAUCCUAAUGAUCAAGCAGGACGCUACUGCAACAAAUAAACGAGGAUUUCCCGAAGAGCAACUAUCCACACUAAGCAUCACCACCCAGGCAGCAUCCUCAACCCAGAAACCGAAUGAACCGACUUGCAGGGAGGCAAGAUAAUCCGCAAACUUUCCCCGAGCUAAGCAUCUAACACAGCUCUCAACUGAGAUGGUUUAAAAACACAAGCAAAACUAGGAAGCUUAAGGUUAGAAACCACCCUAUAAACGAUAACAUCUACAAAAAAGGCAAUAUAAUUAAAUCUAAAGACAUUUCAAGCCUUUCAAAUAUGCCGUAAAAUGAAGCACAAAAGGUGAACCCGAAAAUGCUGGAAAGAAGACAUUCAUCGUUGCCAAAAAGCAAGUAAAAACACCACCACAAUUUUAGGUCAGAAGCCUCAGCCAAAUCCAAGAAAGCACCAAUCCCAUGCUACCCAAGAAAACACACAGAAGGCAAUCUGUAUAGUGAUAUGCCGCCUAGAAUUUGUAUCACCCAAUAAAAAUCUAGUAGACUGCCUUUACAAGUGUUGAAUAUCUGUAGUAGAUGACCUAAAAAUAUGAAAAAAAAUGAAGCUGCAUAAAAGGAAGUACGUGUAGAAUAAGAACUAGUUUACCCACAAAAGAAAGCAAUCGAUUGGCCCACACUGAAAUCCCGUCUAUGACCUUACGAAUCAUAUCAUCAAAAUACCAAAACCGCAGGCAACCCACAAGCAUCAGGCAAGUAAAAGAAAGUUGUUGCUGUUGAAAACUAGUCACCAAAUGAACUAUAGCCUGGCGAGAAGUCGAGGCACGGCUCCUUACAUUUGCUCUUGGGUUGACUGAUUAGCUGACCCGUCUCAUAAUGGUGUAAAAAGCCAUAAGGCACUAAAGUUAAAAUACAAACUAUUA